Molecule: ribosomal RNA, 497 nt
Filed under: uncultured bacterium
Lineage: Bacteria
Description: partial 16S ribosomal RNA
Rfam family: Bacterial small subunit ribosomal RNA
Source: RNAcentral
GAUGAACGCUGGCGGCGUGCCUAAUACAUGCAAGUCGAGCGAACGGACGAGAAGCUUGCUUUUCUGAUGUUAGCGGCGGACGGGUGAGUAACACGUGGAUAACCUACCUAUAAGACUGGGAUAACUUCGGGAAACCGGAACUAAUACCGGAUAAUAUUUUGAACCGCAUGGUUCAAAAGUGAAAGACGGUCUUGCUGUCACUUAUAGAUGGAUCCGCGCUGCAUUAGCUAGUUGGUAAGGUAACGGCUUACCAAGGCAACGAUGCAUAGCCGACCUGAGAGGGUGAUCGGCCACACUGGAACUGAGACACGGUCCAGACUCCUACGGGAGGCAGCAGUAGGGAAUCUUCCGCAAUGGGCGAAAGCCUGACGGAGCAACGCCGCGUGAGUGAUGAAGGUCUUCGGAUCGUAAAACUCUGUUAUUAGGGAAGAACAUAUGUGUAAGUAACUGUGCACAUCUUGACGGUACCUAAUCAGAAAGCCACGGCUAACUACGUG